This is a long non-coding RNA of Haliotis rubra (blacklip abalone), 112 nucleotides long. RefSeq lists it as uncharacterized. The record is from RefSeq and is a predicted model, not a curated record. The transcript is spliced from 3 exons. NCBI's taxonomy places the organism in Eukaryota, Metazoa, Mollusca, Gastropoda, Lepetellida, Haliotidae.
UGAUGAAUGUGAUGAGAAGCCAAGGUGGUGGGGGGUGAAUUAGUGGGAAGCUAGUGGUGAGGAAUGUGAUGAGAAGCCAGGGUGGGUGAGUGGGUAAUUAUUUGUGGAUUAC